CUGCAGUUGAAAAAGCAGGAAAAAAAGGCUUUUUCAACUUCUGUGCACUUGCACACAGCGCUGCUCAGCUGUCCGGGCAGCUCAGCAGGUUGUAAAUUGCACUCAUGUGACUCGCGCAUGCGCACACGACACUAAUAGACAGAACCGGUAGUUAUACCAGUCAGAUCCCAUCCCUAAUCAUAAUCCUUUGCUU
Pseudonaja textilis is the source of this 193-nucleotide non-coding RNA. NCBI's taxonomy places the organism in Eukaryota, Metazoa, Chordata, Lepidosauria, Squamata, Elapidae. The record is from RefSeq and is a predicted model, not a curated record.